UCGGUUGUCUCAAAUAACAGUGUACAUAAUACCUGUUUCAAGAAGCAAGUCUAAAAUGAAGUAAAUGUAACAACGAUGGUUUCGUGAGAAUGUUGUGUGACAGUCAACAACAAUCAACACUGUCAAAUAUCCAGCUCACCAUGAUUGUACAAAUCAUAUGGAACUCGACUGACUUCAUUAGUGAAAUAUACAACAGUAGAGCAAUAACACUGGUGUCCAAGCUUUCCCUCCUACA
Molecule: long non-coding RNA, 235 nt
Filed under: Linum usitatissimum (flax)
Lineage: Eukaryota; Viridiplantae; Streptophyta; Magnoliopsida; Malpighiales; Linaceae
Description: long non-coding RNA (LUSI_LNC000420)
Source: RNAcentral